This 415-nucleotide ribosomal RNA is filed under the name uncultured eukaryote. RNAcentral describes it as "SSU rRNA". It matches the Rfam family "Eukaryotic small subunit ribosomal RNA", at positions 567 to 990 of the family's 1831-position model. The record is from RNAcentral.
CCAGCAGCUGCGGUAAUUCCAGCUCCAAUAGCGUAUAUUAAAGUUGUUGCGGUUAAAAAGCUCGUAGUUGGAUUUCUGCUUAGGACGACCGGUCCGCCUUCGGGUGUGUACCAGUGUUGUUCGAAGCAUCUUUCUAGUUGCGCCCGUGCUUAACUGUGCGGUGCGUGUUCUAGAUCUUUUACUUUGAGGAAAUUAGAGUGUUUCAAGCAGGCUUAUGCCUUGAAUACUUUAGCAUGGAAUAAUAAGGUAGGACUUCGGUUCUAUUUUGUUGGUUUCUAGAACUGAAGUAAUGAUUAAUAGGGACAAUCGGGGGCAUUCGUACUCAACAGUCAGAGGUGAAAUUCUUGGAUUUGUUGGAGACGAACUACUGCGAAAGCAUUUGCCUAGGAUGUUUUCAUCAAUCAAGAACGAAAGG